Molecule: ribosomal RNA, 253 nt
Filed under: uncultured bacterium
Lineage: Bacteria
Description: partial 16S ribosomal RNA
Rfam family: Bacterial small subunit ribosomal RNA
Source: RNAcentral
UACGUAGGGUGCAAGCGUUGUCCGGAAUUAUUGGGCGUAAAGAGCUCGUAGGCGGUUUGUCGCGUCUGCUGUGAAAACCGGAGGCUCAACCUCCGGCCUGCAGUGGGUACGGGCAGACUAGAGUGCGGUAGGGGAGAUUGGAAUUCCUGGUGUAGCGGUGGAAUGCGCAGAUAUCAGGAGGAACACCGGUGGCGAAGGCGGAUCUCUGGGCCAUAACUGACGCUGAGGAGCGAAAGCAUGGGGAGCGAACAGG